AAAAAAGAAAACAAAACCAAACAGAUCUGAAACAUACAUUUAGAGUAACACAUAUAUAGCAUGCAGACUUCAUAAUAUUAUGCAUCCCUCAGUUGUAAACCUGAGUGAUUAAGUGAAUGCACUUAUUUCCUUUUUCCUUUGAGCUCUGACUGAAGCACCUGACACAUGGUAAAAAUUUGAAAUCUGCAACCCUGAACAGAAAGCCUUGUACAGCCUCAGAACAGAUGAGAUACUACGUUUUUUAUUAAAAGAGUUGCUUUGUGGAUGGUUGCAGAAGCACAAAACUUUUUCUGGAAAAAUUUUGUCCUCACUUUCUUCAGAUGGUUGACUAGCUUUUUUGAAUGGUAUUCAUAAAGAGAAGAGCCCUUGACAAGAAGACCAUUAAGAAAGGGGAAGAAAAACAAAACAAAGAUAAUCUGAAAAUCAAGCCACUGGAUUUGCCUUUGCAAUUUCAUGGUUUUUAAUGUCAUUACAAGAAGGGAAAUGGAAAAAGAAGAGGAAUAAAAUACAACAUAUUUCUGAACCA
This 526-nucleotide long non-coding RNA is filed under the name Anas platyrhynchos platyrhynchos (common mallard). RNAcentral describes it as "lncRNA (ENSAPLG00000020121.1)". The record is from RNAcentral. Lineage: Eukaryota; Metazoa; Chordata; Aves; Anseriformes; Anatidae.